UCGGCAAUGGGCGAAAGCCUGACCGAGCGACGCCGCGUGUGGGAUGAAGGCCUUCGGGUUGUAAACCACUGUCAACGGGGAGGAAAUGUAGGGGGGUACUCCCCUCUACUUGACCUAUCUGUGGAGGAAGUACGGGCUAAGUUCGUGCCAGCAGCCGCGGUAAGACGAACCGUACGAACGUUAUUCGGAAUUACUGGGCUUAAAGGGUGCGUAGGCGGUGCGGUAAGUUGGGUGUGAAAGCCCUCAGCUCAACUGAGGAAUUGCACUCAAAACUACCGUGCUAGAGGGAGACAGAGGUAAGCGGAACUCAAGGUGGAGCGGUGAAAUGCGUUGAUAUCUUGAGGAACACCGGUGGCGAAGGCGGCUUACUGGGUCUUUUCUGACGCUGAGGCGCGAAAGCUAGGGGAGCAAACGGGAUUAGAUACCCUGGUAGUCCUAGCCCUAAACGAUGGGUACUGGGUUGCGGGUCAGACAUAGACUCGCAGCCGAAGCAAAAGUGUUAAGUACCCCGCCUGGGGAGUAUGGUCGCAAGGCUGAAACUCAAAGGA
This 548-nucleotide ribosomal RNA is filed under the name uncultured bacterium. Its description in RNAcentral is "bacterial SSU rRNA". It matches the Rfam family "Bacterial small subunit ribosomal RNA", at positions 365 to 908 of the family's 1533-position model. The record is from RNAcentral.